CACUUGCGAGAGCAAACACACAUGCCGUGCACGUGCAUCUGUUGAGGGGACGGGGUGCGUUUGUUUCUGUGGAAAUGGGAGGUUCAAGAUAAGAGCUUCCACUGAACAAGAAGGAGGCCACGGCCUGACAGCUGAGCGACGAGCGACACAUGGAGAGCGUCGAGGUGGCGGUCUGUGUAUGCAAACACGCCGUCACCGCUGCGUUUCUCUGGAAACAUUUUACGGUGUUUGCAGAGCGCAUGCAGAUGAGUCACGGCGAUGAUGCUGGAGUGUUUGUCCGCGUGUCCACCGAAGCUUCCUCAUGCAACAUUACUCAAAAAUGGACUGGCGGAUUUUUGGGUGAAAUUUUCAUGGAAGGUCAGAAAUAACACAAGGACCAAGUGAUUAGAUUUUGGCAGUGAUGCAGCUUAUAGUCUGGAUCCAUGGAUUUAUUAAAGAUUCCUCUGUAAUUGUGAGAUAAUGGAACAACGUCACUGUAACCAUGACAACAAGUGAACACUACAUCAGCUGCCUGCUGACGAUCACAUGAUUGUGAUCCUGCCACAAAUCCAUCACUGUGGGCUUAUCAGGACUUCUCCGUUGGAAAUGAUACAAGGAACAAUUGAUUAAAUUGUAGAGGUGUUUCUGAGUCCCAUCAAUUCCCGCCACCCACUACAUAUUUAGGUCAUGUGAUUCAGUAUCUGUACACAACGUACACAUGUAUAACACACACCUGUACUCAGUGGAAGGUCAUUUUGAGGGUACAUCUAUAUUAAAUGGACACAUUAUAUGUUGCCGUGAUUUCUGCCACAACUUUUUUCAACAUUUCAGCCGUCAGAAAUGAUACAACUGAGCAGCUUUGGUGAAGUAUUGCGCUUUCUGAUAUCUAGAGUGCCAAUGAUGCAGAUUAUACUAAUAGUAGGAAAUACCACAAAGAAAGCCAUUGGUUGUGCUGCACAGGAGGCUCAUUCUGGCACAAAUUACACAUUUUACCUUAAUGCUAGAGGAACAGUAGCAACAUUUCAAACAUUCUAAAGGUCAAACGUAAUGUCUGGACAAAGACUGAUGAAAGCUGGCAGGCAUGAGAUGCUAAAUCAAGUUAACCAUGGAAAAGUCCCACUGACUGAAAAAUAUGCGCUAGUUGAAACGCCAAAAAUCUGAAUGUUAGAUGCUAAAAAUUGGACUCCAACCAACAGUCAGUCUUUGAAUCCACGAGGUGCACCAAAACAGUGAACCAGUUGUCAUGGAAGUUUGCUUAUCCAGUUUUCUGUCGACUUGGGGGUCUUGCAGGGGGAACUGCGCAAAUUUGGAGUAUUAGAGCUGUUGCAAUAAACCAUUUAGUCACUA
Long non-coding RNA from Acanthochromis polyacanthus (spiny chromis), 1326 nucleotides. RefSeq lists it as uncharacterized. The transcript has 2 exons. The record is from RefSeq and is a predicted model, not a curated record. NCBI's taxonomy places the organism in Eukaryota, Metazoa, Chordata, Actinopteri, Pomacentridae.